AUACGUAGGUGGCAAGCGUUGUCCGGAUUUACUGGGCGUAAAGGAUGCGUAGGCGGAUGUUUAAGUCAGAUGUGAAAAUCCCAAGCUUAACUUGGGAACUGCAUUUGAAACUGGAUAUCUAGAGUGCGGGAGAGGAGAAUGGAAUUCCUAGUGUAGCGGUGAAAUGCGUAGAGAUUAGGAAGAACACCAGUGGCGAAGGCGACUCUCUGGACCGUAACUGACGCUGAGGCUCGAAAGCGUGGGUAGC
Molecule: ribosomal RNA, 247 nt
Filed under: uncultured bacterium
Lineage: Bacteria
Description: partial 16S ribosomal RNA
Rfam family: Bacterial small subunit ribosomal RNA
Source: RNAcentral